UGGGGAAUAUUGCACAAUGGGCGCAAGCCUGAUGCAGCCAUGCCGCGUGUAUGAAGAAGGCCUUCGGGAUGUAAAGUACUUUCAGCGGGGAGGAAGGGAGUAAAGUUAAUACCUUUGCUCAUUGACGUUACCCGCAGAAGAAGCACCGGCUAACUCCGUGCCAGCAGCCGCGGUAAUACGGAGGGUGCAAGCGUUAAUCGGAAUUACUGGGCGUAAAGCGCACGCAGGCGGUUUGUUAAGUCAGAUGUGAAAUCCCCGGGCUCAACCUGGGAACUGCAUCUGAUACUGGCAAGCUUGAGUGUCGUAGAGGGGGGUAGAAUUCCAGGUGUAGCGGUGAAAUGCGUAGAGAUCUGGAGGAAUACCGGUGGCGAAGGCGGCCCCCUGGACGAAGACUGACGCUCAGGUGCGAAAGCGUGGGGAGCAAACAGG
Molecule: ribosomal RNA, 429 nt
Filed under: Chloroflexota bacterium
Lineage: Bacteria; Bacillati; Chloroflexota
Description: Chloroflexi bacterium partial 16S ribosomal RNA
Rfam family: Bacterial small subunit ribosomal RNA
Source: RNAcentral